CAGCAGCCGCGGGAACACAGAGGGUGCGAGCGUUAAUCGGAUUUACUGGGCGUAAAGCGUGCGUAGGCGGCUUCUUAAGUCGGAUGUGAAAUCCCUGAGCUUAACUUAGGAAUUGCAUUCGAUACUGGGAAGCUAGAGUAUGGGAGAGGAUGGUAGAAUUCCAGGUGUAGCGGUGAAAUGCGUAGAGAUCUGGAGGAAUACCGAUGGCGAAGGCAGCCAUCUGGCCUAAUACUGACGCUGAGGUACGAAAGCAUGGGGAGCAAACAGGAUUAGAUACCCCAGUAGUCCCUGUCUCUUAUAC
Molecule: ribosomal RNA, 301 nt
Filed under: uncultured bacterium
Lineage: Bacteria
Description: partial 16S ribosomal RNA
Rfam family: Bacterial small subunit ribosomal RNA
Source: RNAcentral